CCUACGGGUGGCAGCAGUGGGGAAUAUUGGACAAUGGGGGGAACCCUGACCCAGCGACGCCGCGUGAGUGAAGAAGUCUUUCGGUAUGUAAAGCUCUAUCAGCAGCGAAGAAAAUGACUGUAUCUGACUAAGAAGCCCCGGCUAACUACGUGCCAGCAGCCACGGUAAUACGUAGGGCGCAAGCGUUCUCCGGAUUUACUGGGUGUAAAGGGAGCGGAGACGGGGCAGCAAGUCUGAUGUGAAAGCGUGGGGCGUAACCCCGGGAUUGCAUUGGAAACUUGUGCUCUGGAGUACAGGAGAGGUAGGCGGAAUUCCUAGUGUAGCGGUGAAAUGCGUAGAUAUUAGGAGGAACACCAGUGGCGAAGGCGGCUUACUGGACUGGAACUGACGUUGAGGCUCGAAAGCGUGGGGAGCAAACAGGAUUAGAUACCCGUGUAGUC
RNAcentral lists this ribosomal RNA (440 nucleotides) under uncultured bacterium. RNAcentral describes it as "partial 16S ribosomal RNA". It matches the Rfam family "Bacterial small subunit ribosomal RNA", at positions 338 to 795 of the family's 1533-position model. The record is from RNAcentral.